Molecule: unclassified non-coding RNA, 377 nt
Filed under: uncultured Actinomycetes bacterium
Lineage: Bacteria; Bacillati; Actinomycetota; Actinomycetes
Description: uncultured actinobacterium contains 16S-23S intergenic spacer region
Source: RNAcentral
UCCGAGUUGACCCCGGCAGUCUUCGAUGAGUCCCCGCCAUAACGCGCUGGCAACAUCGAACGAGGGUUGCGCUCGUUGCGGGACUUAACCCAACAUCUCACGACAUGAGCUGACGACAGCCAUGCACCACCUGUACACCAACCACAAGGGAAACCCCAUCUCUGAGGCAAUCUGGCGCAUGUCAAGCCCAGGUAAGGUUCUUCGCAUUGCAUCGAAUUAAUCCACAUGCUCCGCCGCUUGUGCGGGCCCCCGUCAAUUCCUUUGAGUUUUAGCCUUGCGGCCGUACUCCCCAGGCGGGGCGCUUAAUGCGUUAGCUACGGCACGGACAACGUGAACAUCGCCCACACCUAGCGCCCAACGUUUACAGCGUGGACUAC